Molecule: ribosomal RNA, 708 nt
Filed under: uncultured Serratia sp.
Lineage: Bacteria; Pseudomonadati; Pseudomonadota; Gammaproteobacteria; Enterobacterales; Yersiniaceae
Description: bacterial SSU rRNA
Rfam family: Bacterial small subunit ribosomal RNA
Source: RNAcentral
AGAGUUUGAUCCUGGCUCAGAUUGAACGCUGGCGGCAGGCCUAACACAUGCAAGUCGAGCGGUAGCACAAGAGAGCCUGCUCUCUGGGUGACGAGCGGCGGACGGGUGAGUAAUGUCUGGGAAACUGCCUGAUGGCGGGGGAUAACUAGUGGAAACGGUAGCUAAUACCGCAUAACGUCGCAAGACCAAAGUGGGGGACCUUCGGGCCUCACGCCAUCAGAUGUGCCCAGGUAGGAUUAGCUGGUAGGUGGGGUAACGGCUCACCUAGGCGACGAUCCCUAGCUGGUCUGAGAGGAUGACCAGCCACACUGGAACUGAGACACGGUCCAGACUCCUACGGGAGGCAGCAGUGGGGAAUAUUGCACAAUGGGCGCAAGCCUGAUGCAGCCAUGCCGCGUGUGUGAAGAAGGCCUUCGGGUUGUAAAGCACUUUCAGCGAGGAGAAAGGGUAAUGUGUUAAUAAGACAUUGCAUUGACGUUACUCGCAGAAGAAGCACCGGCUAACUCCGUGCCAGCAGCCGCGGUAAUACGGAGGGUGCAAGCGUUAAUCGGAAUUACUGGGCGUAAAGCGCACGCAGGCGGUUUGUUAAGUCAGAUGUGAAAUCCCCGCGCUCAACGUGGGAACGGCAUUUGAGACUGGCAAGCUAGAGUCUUGUAGAGGGGGGUAGAAUUCCAGGUGUAGCGGUGAAAUGCGUAGAGAUCUGGAGGA